AACCCAUGGUGAGGGUACCUUCUCAAUAAGUCCUUAUACCUCUCCCAUGCAUCAUAUAGAGUUUUUAAAUCCAUUUGUACAAAGGAGGAGAUAUUAUUCCUCAACUU
Small nucleolar RNA from Gossypium arboreum, 107 nucleotides. It matches the Rfam family "Plant small nucleolar RNA R71". Rfam says of the family: R71 is a member of the C/D box family of snoRNAs containing the C (UGAUGA) and D (CUGA) box motifs. Multiple nearly identical copies of this snoRNA have been identified in Arabidopsis, and it is thought to function as a 2'-O-ribose methylation guide for 18S ribosomal RNA. The record is from Rfam. NCBI's taxonomy places the organism in Eukaryota, Viridiplantae, Streptophyta, Magnoliopsida, Malvales, Malvaceae.